UUCAAUUUUUUUUAUAAUCUUAAUUAAUUAUAAAGUGAAUUUAAGGAAGAUACCAAGUCUUUGUAAUACUUUUAGAAUUUGCGCAGCAAGUCUUAUUGCUUAGCCUUAUGAUCUAGUUUUGGAAUCUAUUGGACAGCUGUUUUAUGUUUUCCACAGCCAUGAAACUUAUGGGAAGGAUCAAAAAGUGAAAGAGUUGCAAACAUGCAACGUUAUAUCAAAGCAUAAACAUUGAUAGAUUAUGUUUGUAUUUUAAGUGUUUCCUUUCUUGGCAUCUAUAGUAGAUUUCGAUUAUUCAAAGCAUCAUUUUCUAGCUUUUUCAAUUUCCACCGACCAGUCGAAAUUAAAGUUGAAAUGAUAUAUAUCAGAGAAGGAAAAUGCUUGGUGAAGAGAAGCAUGAGAGAAAAAUAAGAGAAAUAAAGAAGAAAAUAGUAGAGAAAGAGUGAGUGAGUAGAGAGAGAGAUGACAAAAUUCUUUCAUCUUUUUCUCGUGCUUCUCUACACCUACAGCUACUCAUCAGAGAAAUGUUAGUUGUCUUUCAUAUAUAGUGACGUGGCAGCCACCUAGACUCCAAUUAUUAUUAUUAUUAGAACUCGGCUAUGUUGGGGAUGAUCCAACUUGGAGUCAACCAACGUGACCCGUUGGAUCCCUACACUAUUUUUCAACCGUUAAGAUCAGUGACACAAAUAUUAGGUGACCGGGUAAAAUGGUUUAAAAUAUUUAGGAUAACACGCUGUCAUUUUAAGGGAAAAAUUUUACUCUCACACAAAUUGUAAGCCAUUCUUUCUCUCCUGAUUCAGAGAAGCAACUAAAAUCACAAAAAAGAGGACGAUUUGAAGACAAUAUGUAUUGAAAUAGGCGAGAGUCCUUAAAUGACUUAAAUUGGGGUUUCCUUCGUGGGAUUGAUAGGCCGUUGAGUCUUUAAUGAUACGGUGAUGAAAAUAGAUGAUAUUUUGUUCCUGUUGCAAGGUUGUACAGUGGCAGCGACGAUUAUUACGAUUAUCAGAAUAAUUAUUUGGUUUUUGUGUCUUAUUACGUUUAUCAAGUUUGGUCAUCAUAAAUCUGUGUAGCCGUGAAGUUUUAGUGAAAUUGUAAUAUGGACGGUUGAUUCGAAGAUGAAGAUUUGCAUGUAGUGUUUUAAUUUUUUUUUUUUAAAUUAAAUUUAUGACAUGGGCAAGUUUAGGGUUGUGACAGUGAUUCCAUAAUUGGGAAAUAAUAAAAAGAUAACGAAGGCUUAGUGCUAUUUGUCACUUGUCAUUCUAAUUGCAGAUUGCUUUUGGUGACGAAGAUGAAGAUUUUAACGCGAAGAUGAAGUUUAGGGUUGUGAUAGCGAUUCCAUAAUUGGGAAAUAAUAAAAAGAGAACGAAGGCUUAGUGCUAUUUGUCACUUGAUUGUCACUUGUCAUUCUAAUUGCAGAUUGCUUCUGGUGACGAUGAUGAAGAUUUAACACGAAGUCCUGUUUAUCGAAAUGGAACCGGUAAUCUUUGUAGCUGUGUCACGUUCCCAUUGGAUGUAAAUUUCCUAAAUAUUUAAUCUUCACCAUUGCUUUAAAAGCAACUAUCCAACGAUUGAGAUUAGUUGGCUCCAAGUUGGAUCAUCUCCAACUCCAACAUAGCUGAACCCUUAUUAUUGUUGUUAUAUAAAAGGUAGAGGAAUACACCGUGUCCAUAUAUAUCUUAUAACACAUACCUCCCUUAUGAUCGAAUGGCGAAUCAAAUAAAGUUAUUUGAGAGUUAAUUGACUAAGUCCGUAGAGUUCGAACUCCAAUUACAUAUACAUAGACACAUUGUUCAUUUUCCCUCCUCUAUUUUGAUUUUGUUUUAGUUUAUUAAGUAAGCUGACUGAGAACAGACCUUCCAUUUACUUUGUAGUCUACUAUAAAUAUGUGUAAUCUAUAUGCUGAACUUGUAAGCUUAGAUCAAUUAGUAUGUUGAAGAAUGAUCAGAUGCGCAUCAUCUGCAUGUUAUUGUGCAUGAUAGGCCACGUGUUACUUGAUAAUUGGCCAAACUAUUAAACAUCAAUCUAUAAUUAGGUGACAUUUGGCUUAUCGCAUCUGAUUGGGUCUCUCAAGAUCCAAUACUCAAUAAAAACACUCUCAAAGAAAGAUAGUAAAUAGGUUUGCAUACGAUUCAAACAGGUGCAAGGUCAUUUCAUAUAUUAUUGCUUAGGGGAAAAGGUCACCCACGUGGUCACGCCCCUAAAGUUUAUUUAAAUGGUCACAUAGACCCCCUUAAUAUUAUAAGAAACUAUUAUAUUAUUUGAUUGUAAUAACCUAAGUAAAUAUAAAUAUAGUAAUAAGAUACAA
This 2302-nucleotide long non-coding RNA is filed under the name Citrus x clementina. RNAcentral's name for it is "Citrus clementina (C. clementina) long non-coding RNA (CCLE_LNC004666)". Lineage: Eukaryota; Viridiplantae; Streptophyta; Magnoliopsida; Sapindales; Rutaceae. The record is from RNAcentral.